Molecule: ribosomal RNA, 600 nt
Filed under: Nocardiopsis sp. YIM 80056
Lineage: Bacteria; Bacillati; Actinomycetota; Actinomycetes; Streptosporangiales; Nocardiopsidaceae
Description: bacterial SSU rRNA
Rfam family: Bacterial small subunit ribosomal RNA
Source: RNAcentral
ACGCUGGCGGCGUGCUUAACACAUGCAAGUCGAGCGGUAAGGCCCUUCGGGGUACACGAGCGGCGAACGGGUGAGUAACACGUGAGCAACCUGCCCCUGACUCCGGGAUAAGCGGUGGAAACGCCGUCUAAUACCGGAUAUGACACACCAUCUCCUGGUGGUGUGUGGAAAGUUUUAUCGGUCAGGGAUGGGCUCGCGGCCUAUCAGCUUGUUGGUGGGGUAAAGGCCUACCAAGGCGAUUACGGGUAGCCGGCCUGAGAGGGCGACCGGCCACACUGGGACUGAGACACGGCCCAGACUCCUGCGGGAGGCAGCAGUGGGGAAUAUUGCACAAUGGGCGAAAGCCUGAUGCAGCGACGCCGCGUGGGGGAUGACGGCCUUCGGGUUGUAAACCUCUUUUACCACCAACGCAGGCCCCGGGUUCUCUCGGGGUUGACGGUAGGUGGGGAAUAAGGACCGGCUAACUACGUGCCAGCAGCCGCGGUAAUACGUAGGGUCCGAGCGUUGUCCGGAAUUAUUGGGCGUAAAGAGCUCGUAGGCGGCGUGUCGCGUCUGCUGUGAAAGACCGGGGCUUAACCCCGGUUCUGCAGUGGAUACGGG